CAGAGGGCGCUUUGGCUUUGGCAGCGGUCCAAGUUCCUUGGAACAGGACGUCACAGAGGGUGAGAAUCCCGUACGUGGUCGCUAGCUAUUGCCGUGUAAAGCCCCUUCGACGAGUCGAGUUGUUUGGGAAUGCAGCUCUAAAUGGGAGGUAAAUUUCUUCUAAAGCUAAAUAUUGGCCAGAGACCGAUAGCGCACAAGUAGAGUGAUCGAAAGAUGAAAAGCACUUUGGAAAGAGAGUCAAACAGCACGUGAAAUUGUUGAAAGGGAAGCGCUUGCAGCCAGACUUGCUUGCAGUUGCUCAUCCGGGCUUUUGCCCGGUGCACUCUUCUGCAGGCAGGCCAGCAUCAGUUUGGGCGGUGGGAUAAAGGUCUCUGACACGUUCCUUCCUUCGGGUUGGCCAUAUAGGGGAGACGUCAUACCACCAGCCUGGACUGAGGUCCGCGCAUCUGCUAGGAUGCUGGCGUAAUGGCUGUAAGCGGCCCGUCUUGAAACACGGACCAAGGAGUCUAACAUCUAUGCGAGUGUUUGGGUGUCAAGCCCGAGCGCGUAAUGAAAGUGAACGGAGGUGGGAACCCGCAAGGGCGCACCAUCGACCGAUCCUGAAGUUUACGGAAGGAUUUGAGUAAGAGCAUGGCUGUUGGGACCCGAAAGAUGGUGAACUAUGCUUGAAUAGGGUGAAGCCAGAGGAAACUCUGGUGGAGGCUCGCAGCGGUUCUGACGUGCAAAUCGAUCGUCAAAUUUGGGCAUAGGGGCGAAAGACU
Molecule: ribosomal RNA, 761 nt
Filed under: Curvularia lunata
Lineage: Eukaryota; Fungi; Ascomycota; Dothideomycetes; Pleosporales; Pleosporaceae
Description: partial large subunit ribosomal RNA
Rfam family: Eukaryotic large subunit ribosomal RNA
Source: RNAcentral